UAUGAGCUCAUUUCAAAGCUUGGUGUCUCCGUUGGUAUCAUUAUAAACUGGAAAUCCUGCUUGUUGGUCUAUGAGGUUUCCUGUUUCUGGAAACUGGAUGGACCAACGGCCUGGACGACAAUUUGGUGUGAUUAUGAGCUCAUUUCAAAGCUUGGUGUCUCCGUUGGCAUCAUUAUAAACUGGAAAUCCUGCUUGUUGGUCUAUGAGGUUUCCUGUUUCUGGAAACUGGAUGGACCAACGGCCUGGACGACAAGUUGGUGUGAGCAAGCUUGCAUGGUGUCUCCGUUGGCAUCAUUAAACUGGAAAACCUGCUCGUUUGUCCAUAAGGUUUCCUGUUUCUGGAAACUGAGUGGACAAUUAAUGGCCUGAACGACAA
Molecule: long non-coding RNA, 376 nt
Organism: Halichondria panicea
Lineage: Eukaryota; Metazoa; Porifera; Demospongiae; Suberitida; Halichondriidae
Exons: 3
Source: RefSeq, a predicted model, not a curated record